Molecule: ribosomal RNA, 673 nt
Filed under: uncultured bacterium
Lineage: Bacteria
Description: bacterial SSU rRNA
Rfam family: Bacterial small subunit ribosomal RNA
Source: RNAcentral
GGGGAUAAGCGGCGGAAACGCCGUCUAAUACCGCGUGACAACCCGAGGGGGCAUCCCCUUGGGUUCAAAGGAGAGAUCCGGUACCGGCUGGGCAUGCGGCGCAUUAGCUAGUUGGCGGGGCAACGGCCCACCAAGGCGACGAUGCGUAGGGGUUCUGAGAGGAAGGUCCCCCACACUGGAACUGAGACACGGUCCAGACUCCUACGGGAGGCAGCAGUGAGGAAUAUUGGUCAAUGGGCGCAAGCCUGAACCAGCCAAGUCGCGUGAGGGAAGACGGCCCUACGGGUUGUAAACCUCUUUUGCCGGGGAGCAAGCCUGAGCACGUGUGCCCAGGCGGAGAGUACCCGGAGAAAAAGCAUCGGCUAACUCCGUGCCAGCAGCCGCGGUAAUACGGAGGAUGCGAGCGUUAUCCGGAUUUAUUGGGUUUAAAGGGUGCGCAGGCGGGCUGUUAAGCCGGCGGUAAAAAUUCAGGGCUCAACCCUGUCGAGCCGUCGGAACUGGCAGUCUUGAGUGGGCGAGAAGUAUGCGGAAUGCGUGGUGUAGCGGUGAAAUGCAUAGAUAUCACGCAGAACGCCGAUUGCGAAGGCAGCAUACCGGCGCCCAACUGACGCUGAGGCACGAAAGCGUGGGGAUCGAACAGGAUUAGAUACCCUGGUAGUCCACGCAGUAAACG